Molecule: ribosomal RNA, 107 nt
Organism: Bos mutus (wild yak)
Lineage: Eukaryota; Metazoa; Chordata; Mammalia; Artiodactyla; Bovidae
Source: Ensembl
GUCUAUGGUCAUAUCACCUUGAACACGCCCAAUCUUGUCUGAUUUCAGAAGCUAAGCAGGGUCCGGCCUGGUUAGUACUUGGAUCGGAAACAAAAAUACUUAAGUCU